Long non-coding RNA from Dicentrarchus labrax (European seabass), 5264 nucleotides. RefSeq lists it as uncharacterized. NCBI's taxonomy places the organism in Eukaryota, Metazoa, Chordata, Actinopteri, Moronidae. The transcript is spliced from 4 exons. The record is from RefSeq and is a predicted model, not a curated record.
UUGGAAGGUUGUGGUUCGAUCCCCGGCUCCUCCCGCCACAUGUCGAAGUAUCCUUGAGCAAGAUACUGAACCCCAAAUUGCUCCCGAAGCUGUGUAUCAGUGUGUGAAUGUGUAUGAAUGAGUUAGUUUCUGUUUGAUGGGCUUUGCCAUCACUGUGUGAAUGUGUGUGAAAGGGCGAAUGUGGCAUAUAUUGUAAAAGCGCUUUGAGUGGUCAGAAGACUAGAAAGGCACUAUACAAGUACAGGUCCAGUUACCAUUUAGUGGAUAGAUACCAUUCUGUUGGACUGAAACCACAGAAAAACUUGUUGUACAGUGGCAGUACCGAGUGAAGUUUCUUCGUUAAAUCCCAUGUAUGGGAGAAAUGUUCACACUGUUGAGCCUGGCUGUUGUAAAGGAGAGCAGAGUUGCAACACUAGCAGGCUGGGGUGUGUCAAGUAAGUUGAGAUCCCUGAUCCGCUAAAACCACAAUGGAGCAUUAGGGACUCCAUCUGAAUAACGCAAUGCACAGAGAUUAUAAUAACCAAAAGCUGUAUAAUGAUUGAAGUUGAUUCUAUAUUACAAAAUGAAAUAUGUAACAAUGAAAGGAAACAUGAUUAUAUGAUUGUAACUGAUUAUUUGAUAAUUAAUGAGUAUAAAUGCAUAGUAGUAAGAUAGAACUAUGGAAAGUAAGGUCAAGAGAGCAAAUCAUGUUGAAGUGUUGAGUAACUAGGUAAAAAGGUACGUAUUGCAACCGGACAUGCAACAUCUGGUGCGGAGAGAAAGGGGAACAAAGGGUCAAAUCAGGAUAAUGUUGAGUAACGAGUAAGAAGGCACAGCGGAUACAUCUUGUGAAGAUGAGCGCACACAGCGGAUACAUCUUGUAAAGUUAAGCGCACACACAGGACUGUCUUGUGAGGAGCAAAAGAGGAAGUGGCACGGCCCUGAACCGAACACCCUAGGGGGUUAAAAGGGGCUACACAAGGGGGAUUGUGGUUAGUCCUCAGCCGGCUCUCGGGUUCAAGACUUGCUGAUCGAUCGACCACAUUUGGGCAACUCAUCUUUGAACUUAGAAUUUCAACUCAAGAGACAGAGCAACAAACAAGCCAUCAUCACAGAAAGAGAAUUCCAACAACCUACAGCCGAGACGGGAGCGGCGGGCAGAAGAGGAUUUACCAUCUCCACCCGGCUGCAGGUUCCAAUUGAUCACCAAGGAUCACUCUUUCGUUCACCCUUCCAUCAGAGAACUGCACUGGUCAGAGACUUUGCGGACUUUGGACAAAGUCGGGAGUUUCAACAGCAACCAACAGUAUGGCAGGCGAGGAAGAACUGUAUCGGCCAGUACACCUCUUCCCUCUCUCUCUACAAGCUGGACAUUCGACCAUUCAGCUACAAGCCUUUUCAUCAGGGGUUUGAAUUUUAAACAAUUACUUACUUAAUUUUGGAAACCUAGUUAAUCAUUAUUAGUGAAUGUGAACAAUCAGUUUUUGAACCAGUUUAUGCUGUAUGCUGGCCCUUGCUAAAUCUUGCAAUAAAAAUAACCAUUGAAGUUAAAGAAUAAACUGUGGACAUUGGAUUUAUGAUAUCUCAUCAGGCAGUAAUUGUUAGGUAGAGUGAUCAUCAACUUAACGGUUCUAACAGGUUACUCUAGCCCAAGAAAUUAAACAGACCCUUAGGGCUUACUGUCCAAGCCCCUAAAACAAUCCUAGCAACUAACAAGUGCACAGGUCAGUAAGAGGAGAGCUGCUGUUAACAAACGUGACUACACUGAAAAAAGUGAAACUGCCGUGUCGUUUAUUUGAAGUGCAUUUUUACAUUGGACUAAGUGAAAAUCGUGCUUUCUGUUUCAAACCUGUUUUGUCUAGUUUGCCUUAAAGUAGAUAAUGAACCCCCUAGAACAAAUUAAAAGAACAAUUUUACUUCAGUCAUAUUUUUACUUCAGACCAGAAGAAAAAGGAAAAAAAAAAAGUUUUCAUGUCAUGUGACCACUCGACGUCACAUCUGCUACAUCCAGCCAGCGUUUUUACUGUCCGCCAUUACUUCGCUUCGAAUGUGAAGACUCCGUCACGUCGUGGCCCAGGAGGAGGAAAUCUCUUUUUGAUAGGGUAAGCUUUCGAAAACUGUGUUAUUUUAACGAGAACAAGUGUUUUUCAUUCACAUUUAUGAUUAGUGGUAAACUAAGCUACAUUAGAGAACUGUGUUUAGGCACGUGUUGCCUAAAGCUAACGUUAGCUAAACCAGGCUAUCGCAAUGCACCUGUUGGUCAAAUGCAAAGUCAAGUUCGUUGUUAAUAUUGUUUUACUUUGAUGUAACGGAAAUAUUAUGGGAGUGUCGUGUGAUAAUGUACGUUUGUCUUUAGUGAAUAUGCUUUAGCAACCAAUCAACUUUUAUUUUUCUUUUCUUGUAAGCGUUAACUAGUCUAGACAUUCGAGGUUUCUGUAUAUGAGAAGGCAAAUAAAUGUCCGAAUCAGUUGGAACAGGGUGCAUGUAAUGUCCGAUUGAGCCCGUGUGUGAUUAGAGCCGUCCACUGGGUCAGCACAACUCAGAAAAGUAAUUCAGGCGGCUGAAGAGGGGCGUUCUGUGUUUUCCUGAGGGCGGGGCUGCGCUGCCCACACACACACACAGGGCUGGCUGCAGAGCAGAGCACAGCGCGGACACAGUUUAAAGAAGUGACAACUGAAAUGCUCCCGACUGUAAGUGGCAUAAACAACCGGAAAAAACAACAACAUUUAUUAAAACUUAAUUUGACAUGGGUGGCACUGGUUCGCCUGCCGUGUCUCUCCGCCAUUGCCGAUAUGUGUAGUCACCGUUUGUUUACUGCAUGUAAACAUUCAGUUUAAAGCCAUUUCAGAAAUGCACUCCUUUAUUAUAAUCCGACACACUCCAAACAGUGAAUCCAUUCAGAUAAGCAAUAGAGGGUGUGAUUAAUAGUACAGUAUGUGAUUCAUUAAAUACAUUACAUUUUAGACAAAGAAUUCUGAUUGAAGAGGAAGAUGUCAUAUUCCAUUGUUUCAUCUGUCAGUUUAAAAUGCAGUAUAGUACAAUAUUACCAGUAUGAUUUAGGUCUAAUUAAUGAUUUACAGCUUGUAGUGUGGAUAGUGGUAACUGCCCCAACAAAAAAACAAAAUGUGAAUUCUCAGCUUUUCCUUUGUGUUUACAGGUUUGACGCUUCCUGGAAAUUUCACGAUUUUGGCCUUAUUGCUGAUCUGAUAAUUUUGGAUGGGAAGACAUGACAGGCAAAAGGCCAGCCAAGGUAUUCUGAACCCUGAUGACACCUGGAAGCUUAUUCUGCCUGAUGGAAUUCCAGAGUCAAUGGAGCAGCUUAUGGAUGAAAUCAGGAAAGUGUCUGGGCUAAAUGGAAUUUUAAGACUGCAGUACCAAGACAAAGACUUUGGAGAUGCUCUUGUGAACUUGACAUCUACUGCAGAGCUUGAGGAUUUGGCAACUGUCAAGGUCAUCCCAAUACCUGAUGAUGGCCAAGUAAUUACUCUCUCUUUCUGUAAUGAUAUAGUGUCUACUCAAUCAGAUGAUACUGAGCUCCUGUCAUCACCCUCCAGUUCUGUCUCUACAAGAACUCAGAUGUGGCCACGUGCAUUUCCGGUACCAACAUUCUCCUGUCACACUGAACUACAGCUAGAAAAGGGAAAUGCUGUGUUUAGGUCAAACAACACAAGGUUGACACUGGGUUGGAAAACAAAGUCAGAUAUUUUGGAAAAGUUAGCAGAAGAGAUAUUCAAGUUCAAAGCCUACCCAAUAGAUGCUGACUUUAGUGACGUUGCUUAAGCACUAAUCCAGAAACACCCCUGCCUCUCUGAACCUGGCUCAUACAAUGGAUGCUACGGGUGGAAGCAGCGGCUAAAGACAAAAAUGGAUCAAUGCUGAAUUUAUGAGAAUUAUAACUGUUCCACUUGAACCGCAAUUCCUGGCUUCCUUGUCAAGCACUACAACAAGCUGAUAGAGAUCAUCAGAAACAUGGGAGGAGUUGUCAGAGAGAAGACCCGGAGUAUACCGAAUCUUCUUAAUCAGGUUGUUCAGAAGGAGGAAGCUGAAACGGAGCUUGAGAGAUGUACAAUGGCCGUGUAUGUCAUCAAGGAAGAGGAGGAUCCUCUCCAGCCACCACAUGACAUUGGGGUUGUUAUUGAAGGAGUGCAGGUCCUGCUCAGUGAGUUGCCAUCAGUCCCACACACCUGUGCCAUGUUGUUCGGCCUCAUCUAUGCUCUUAACUUAAGCUAUACAAGUGAGCCCAAAUACACCUUUGAUGCAUUGCAGAAACUAUUCAUGGAGAUAGAACCCAAGAAAAUGACACGCAGAGUGUGCAGUCUGAGUGUCAAGCUCUAAAUAUUGGAUUCAUCAAAGAGACAUUGGAUACCGGAUGUGUUUUAUUUUGUGUUAUUGCUUGUAUUCAAAUAUAUUCUAUGAUAUAGGAAGGGGCCACUGUUAAAUGUUAAUAAGAGAAACAGACUUUAAUUAAAAACUGGCCUUCAAUUCUGAUUUUCUGUGUUCACGGAACAGUUUCUGUGAUAUAAAUAUUGUGGCACUGAUAUCAACACUGAAGUUCGAAUAAUGCAAAGUUCAUAAUUGCAGCAAUAGUAAUGGUAAUGUUUUUUUCUUAAACUGAAGAUCAACCUUUUGUUAUGGAUUGCAUCCACAGCAAUUAAACUGGGGGUACCCCUUAGUUGAAAAAAGUGUUGUCUCAAUUUCCGAUGGGGAGGUUUACAUACAUCCUGGUCAUUUUGUCGAAGGAAAGCCAAGGUUUUUGACAGUUAAACACUAUUUGUACACUUCUUUUUUGCUAUUUUAUACCACUUUAAGCUUUUCAUACCACAUUAAUGUGGUCAUAGAUACGGAAAUGUUGAUAUUGCAUUUGUAAUGGUUCAUCUUGAUCAUUUUGUCCCAAGGAUGGUAAGUUUUAAGACUAUUAGACUUAAUGGUUAUUAUAUUACAUAUCUCAAGUUUUAAUGGAGAGGCGUACAAAAAAGUUUUACAUUAGUGUGGUUAAUGUUACAGAAAGGUUACAGAAGUUUUAAAAAAAAGUAUUGAAAAGACCAUGAUUUUCUUUAAUUUAUUCUUGUGUUUUUUCUCAAAUGUGCUGUAAUGUGUAAAGUACAUACCGGCUAGCCUAACAGCCAGCAAAAUUUAGGGUUUUAUUUAUUUUUUUGUAUUUUUUUGUUUGUUUUUUUGACAACAGAGAAUGCGAUUUUUUUUUUUUUUAAACAAAGACAAUGCCAUCAUAAUAAACAUCAAGGUCUUUUGAUGAAAAUAUUCCUGUCUUAAUUCAUAGCAAGUCA